RNAcentral lists this ribosomal RNA (766 nucleotides) under uncultured eukaryote. RNAcentral's name for it is "eukaryotic LSU rRNA". The stretch from base 367 to 521 matches the Rfam family "5.8S ribosomal RNA". The record is from RNAcentral.
UCCGUAGGUGAAACCUGCGGAAGGAUCAUUAAUGGUUAACAUUCUCCUAGAGAUAUGUGACUACAAACUCAUGGGUUGGUUUUGUGGCUUGCUACAAAACUACUCAAUGGAGCUUGGCCAGUCUGCCUUGCUCUACACACAGAUCAGAGUGAUGUCGGUGUUCCAGCAAUGCCCUUUGCUCCCUGUGGCCAGAGUUUUCAGGUGCAGUGCCCCCAUGACUCAGUUAGGGGAUAAGGAAUUUAUUCUGAACUGCAUAAGUACCUACGCCUGACUUCUUUGGUUUUGUGCUCACCCCGGUUUGGGAUGUGAAAACUGUUGUACUGUGUUUUCUCUUAAAAGCAGAAAUGCUUGCAACUAAGUGAAUAUAACACUCUACAGUGGAUCACUUGGCUCGGGGGUCGAUGAAGAACGCAGCUAACUGCGCGUCGGAAUGUGAACUGCAGGACAUGUGAGCAUCGACCUUUUGAACGCAUAUGGCGGAGUUAAAGUCCUUCUUUAACUCCAUGUUUUGCUCAGGGUCGUUUAACAUCCAUCCCUCUUGGGUUUCCAAGAGAGGCAUUGAGGUUUUGCAAUGCGUUCAGCAGUGCAUGCCUUUAAGUUGCAACUGCCUGUUAAACCAGAGGCUCUAGUGACUCUUGGGAUUCGUCCUGNGUUGCUUUGCUGACAGUUGGGCAGAGGUGAGUGCCAGACUAAGGGCACCUACCAGCUACUUUACUUUUGACCUGAGAUAAAGCAAGAUUACCCGCCGAAUUUAAGCACAUCAAUA